This is a non-coding RNA of Elephantulus edwardii (Cape elephant shrew), 405 nucleotides long. The record is from the annotation of a RefSeq genome assembly. Lineage: Eukaryota; Metazoa; Chordata; Mammalia; Macroscelidea; Macroscelididae.
AUGGUCUCCACGCUUCUCUGCUGGUUGGUCACAUGUCUCCUGGGGGCAGGAUCAGUGGCUCCUGGAGUCACGCAGACGCCAAGACAUCUGAUCAAACUACGGGGCCAGAAGAUGACAAUUAACUGUUCCCCCCAGUCAGGACACAACUCUGUGUCCUGGUACCAGCAGGCUCGGGGCCAGGGCCCCCAGUUCCUCAUUCAGUAUUACAAUGGACAAGAGCAAGACAAAGGCAACAUUCUGGAGCGGUUCUCAGGCCAGCAGUUCACUAACCGCAGCUCGGAGCUGAACCUGAGCGCCCUGGAGCUGGGGGACACGGCCACGUUCCUCUGUGCCAGCAGCAAGGACACAGCCCUGCAGGGCCCCCAGCGCCCGGUGCACAAACCUCCCGCCCGGCUCAGGAAGUGA